This 468-nucleotide ribosomal RNA is filed under the name uncultured bacterium. RNAcentral describes it as "partial 16S ribosomal RNA". It matches the Rfam family "Bacterial small subunit ribosomal RNA", at positions 28 to 507 of the family's 1533-position model. The record is from RNAcentral.
GACGAACGCUGGCGGCGUGCUUAACACAUGCAAGUCGAACGGAAAGGCCCUGCUUUUGUGGGGUGCUCGAGUGGCGAACGGGUGAGUAACACGUGAGUAACCUGCCCUUGACUUUGGGAUAACUUCAGGAAACUCGGGCUAAUACCGGAUAGGAGCUCCUGCUGCAUGGUGGGGGUUGGAAAGUUUCGGCGGUUGGGGAUGGACUCGCGGCUUAUCAGCUUGUUGGUGGGGUAGUGGCUUACCAAGGCUUUGACGGGUAGCCGGCCUGAGAGGGUGACCGGCCACAUUGGGACUGAGAUACGGCCCAGACUCCUACGGGAGGCAGCAGUGGGGAAUAUUGCACAAUGGGCGGAAGCCUGAUGCAGCAACGCCGCGUGCGGGAUGGCGGCCUUCGGGUUGUAAACCGCUUUCGCCGGUGACGAAGCGUGAGUGACGGUAAUGGGUAAAGAAGCACCGGCUAACUACGUG